Molecule: ribosomal RNA, 600 nt
Filed under: uncultured bacterium
Lineage: Bacteria
Description: bacterial SSU rRNA
Rfam family: Bacterial small subunit ribosomal RNA
Source: RNAcentral
AUUGAACGCUAGCGGGAUGCCUUACACAUGCAAGUCGAACGGCAGCACGGACUUCGGUCUGGUGGCGAGUGGCGAACGGGUGAGUAAUGUAUCGGAACGUGCCCAGUAGCGGGGGAUAACUACGCGAAAGCGUAGCUAAUACCGCAUACGCCCUACGGGGGAAAGCAGGGGAUCGCAAGACCUUGCACUAUUGGAGCGGCCGAUAUCGGAUUAGCUAGUUGGUGGGGUAACGGCUCACCAAGGCGACGAUCCGUAGCUGGUUUGAGAGGACGACCAGCCACACUGGGACUGAGACACGGCCCAGACUCCUACGGGAGGCAGCAGUGGGGAAUUUUGGACAAUGGGGGAAACCCUGAUCCAGCCAUCCCGCGUGUGCGAUGAAGGCCUUCGGGUUGUAAAGCACUUUUGGCAGGAAAGAAACGUCAUGGGUUAAUACCCCGUGAAACUGACGGUACCUGCAGAAUAAGCACCGGCUAACUACGUGCCAGCAGCCGCGGUAAUACGUAGGGUGCAAGCGUUAAUCGGAAUUACUGGGCGUAAAGCGUGCGCAGGCGGUUCGGAAAGAAAGAUGUGAAAUCCCAGAGCUUAACUUUGGAACUG